UGAGGAAUAUUGGUCAAUGGGCGAGAGCCUGAACCAGCCAAGUAGCGUGAAGGAUGACUGCCCUAUGGGUUGUAAACUUCUUUUAUAAAGGAAUAAAGUCGGGUAUGGAUACCCGUUUGCAUGUACUUUAUGAAUAAGGAUCGGCUAACUCCGUGCCAGCAGCCGCGGUAAUACGGAGGAUCCGAGCGUUAUCCGGAUUUAUUGGGUUUAAAGGGAGCGUAGAUGGAUAUUUAAGUCAGUUGUGAAAGUUUGCGGCUCAACCGUAAAAUUGCAGUUGAUACUGGAUAUCUUGAGUGCAGUUGAGGCAGGCGGAAUUCGUGGUGUAGCGGUGAAAUGCUUAGAUAUCACGAAGAACUCCGAUUGCGAAGGCAGCCUGCUAAGCUGCAACUGACAUUGAGGCUCGAAAGUGUGGGUAUCAAACAGGAUUAGAUACCCUGGUAGUCCACACGGUAAACGAUGAAUACUCGCUGUUUGCGAUAUACUGCAAGCGGCCAAGCGAAAGCGUUAAGUAUUCCACCUGGGGAGUACGCCGGCAACGGUGAAACUCAAAGGAAUUGACGGGGGCCCGCACAAGCGGAGGAACAUGUGGUUUAAUUCGAUGAUACGCGAGGAACCUUACCCGGGCUUAAAUUGCAGAUGAAUUACGGUGAAAGCCGUAAGCCGCAAGGCAUCUGUGAAGGUGCUGCAUGGUUGUCGUCAGCUCGUGCCGUGAGGUGUCGGCUUAAGUGCCAUAACGAGCGCAACCCUUGUUGUCAGUUACUAACAGGUUUUGCUGAGGACUCUGACAAGACUGCCAUCGUAAGAUGUGAGGAAGGUGGGGAUGACGUCAAAUCAGCACGGCCCUUACGUCCGGGGCUACACACGUGUUACAAUGGGGGGUACAGAGGGCCGCUACCACGCGAGUGGAUGCCAAUCCCAAAAACCUCUCUCAGUUCGGACUGGAGUCUGCAACCCGACUCCACGAAGCUGGAUUCGCUAGUAAUCGCGCAUCAGCCACAGCGCGGUGAAUACGUUCCC
This 1017-nucleotide ribosomal RNA is filed under the name uncultured bacterium. RNAcentral's name for it is "bacterial SSU rRNA". It matches the Rfam family "Bacterial small subunit ribosomal RNA", at positions 355 to 1375 of the family's 1533-position model. The record is from RNAcentral.